This 497-nucleotide ribosomal RNA is filed under the name uncultured bacterium. RNAcentral's name for it is "partial 16S ribosomal RNA". It matches the Rfam family "Bacterial small subunit ribosomal RNA", at positions 28 to 507 of the family's 1533-position model. The record is from RNAcentral.
GAUGAACGCUGGCGGCGUGCCUAAUACAUGCAAGUCGAGCGAACAGACGAGGAGCUUGCUCCUUUGACGUUAGCGGCGGACGGGUGAGUAACACGUGGAUAACCUACCUAUAAGACUGGGAUAACUUCGGGAAACCGGAGCUAAUACCGGAUAACAUGUUGAACCGCAUGGUUCAACAGUGAAAGACGGUCUUGCUGUCACUUAUAGAUGGAUCCGCGCCGCAUUAGCUAGUUGGUAAGGUAACGGCUUACCAAGGCAACGAUGCGUAGCCGACCUGAGAGGGUGAUCGGCCACACUGGAACUGAGACACGGUCCAGACUCCUACGGGAGGCAGCAGUAGGGAAUCUUCCGCAAUGGGUGAAAGCCUGACGGAGCAACGCCGCGUGAGUGAAGAAGGUCUUCGGAUCGUAAAACUCUGUUAUUAGGGAAGAACAAAUGUGUAAGUAACUAUGCACGUCUUGACGGUACCUAAUCAGAAAGCCACGGCUAACUACGUG